Molecule: transfer RNA, 86 nt
Filed under: Syntrophomonadaceae bacterium
Lineage: Bacteria; Bacillati; Bacillota; Clostridia; Eubacteriales; Syntrophomonadaceae
Description: tRNA-Leu
Rfam family: tRNA
About the family: Transfer RNA (tRNA) molecules are approximately 80 nucleotides in length. Their secondary structure includes four short double-helical elements and three loops (D, anti-codon, and T loops).
Source: RNAcentral
GCCGAUGUGGCGGAAUAGGCAGACGCGGCGGUCUCAAAAACCGUUGGAUAACUUCCAUGCCGGUUCGACUCCGGCCAUCGGCACCA